UUGCGUGCGCAGAUCGACUGCUGUUCAUCAGCAGUUCGGAUCUCGUACCGUCAUCAUGUCUGGGGUGUCUGAUAAGGAAGAAGACAGGGCAUUUCAAUUAGAGUGUAUCGAGGUUUACAAAAGUUUACCAGCCCUGUGGAAAGUGAAGUGUAACGAUUACAGCAACCGACAAAAGAAAGAUGCAGCUUACGGAGCAUUGAUUAAAAAAUUCCAGGAAAAGUACCAAAACUAUACAAGAGAAGAUGUAAAAAAAAAGAUCAAUGUCUACAGAACAAAUUAUCGCAAGGAAUUAAAGAAAGUGCUUGACUCGGAAAAUCUGGUGCAGGGACGGACCAGGUCUAUGAACCAACUUUGUGGUAUUUCGAUGCCCUCGCCUUCCUCAACGACCAAGAAGUCCCAGCCAAAUCACGGAGUAGGCCGACACUAAAACGUCUGGCAUCGACUGAAGACGUCAGCGAACCUUCUCAGGAGGAUGAUACGGCUGAUGUGAAAACAGACGUUCAGAACUACAACGUGUUUGUAGAGCCACAGUUACAACUGAGGAAGGAAUCUCUCCAGACUCCUGCCAAACGGACGAAAUCGAGAAGUUCAGUUAAAAAUGAUGCCAAAGAAGAGCUCCUGCAGCUUGCCACUGAACGACUACGCCAAGAUCACGAAGAUGUAAAUCUUAUCCAAGCAAAGACAUGGGCAGCUGAACUCUCAAAGAUGACUCUUGACCAACAGCUGUUCGCGAAGAAAGCUAUCAAUGAUAUACUUUUUGAGGGACAGAUGGGUACAUUGAAAAGGGAUUCGGUCAAAAUAAACGAUGACAAUUGGAUGCAGUGAUUUCUUCGUUUGCAGCAAUUUUAUUUUUCCUAAAUAGGAUACCUGUAUUAUAGUAUUAUAGUUAAAGACGACUAAACUUUGACAUUAUUGUAAAGUGUUCUUUUUCCCGUCAUUUCAUUUUUUGUUCUCUUUUUAAUUAAACCUUGAUUAGGUUAUAAAUUUGAA
This is a long non-coding RNA of Aplysia californica (California sea hare), 990 nucleotides long. RefSeq lists it as uncharacterized. NCBI's taxonomy places the organism in Eukaryota, Metazoa, Mollusca, Gastropoda, Aplysiida, Aplysiidae. The record is from RefSeq and is a predicted model, not a curated record. The transcript is spliced from 3 exons.